GUGUGGACUAGGUUGGGCAGUUAGGCCCUGCUCUUCAACCCACCAUUUCGGUCUUGAGUGGGAACCAAAUCCGGGUGCGUUCGGUCAGACCGGUGCAGGCCCCGGAAGCCAACUAAGAAACCUCGUCCUUCGGGGACGGCGGUCCGUUGACGCUGACCGCAGGGUCAGUCCGAGACGGUUCGUCGCCGGUAUCCCGUCAGGCGCGGAAGCGAGCAGCGAACUGGUGAACGUUCGUCGCUCGAAGGGCCGCGGGGUGGAGGAGGCAACUGGGACUCCCUGUAUCGGAACGCCGAGCAACCCUGUUGUCCGCUA
Haloquadratum walsbyi DSM 16790 is the source of this 312-nucleotide non-coding RNA. It matches the Rfam family "Archaeal signal recognition particle RNA". The record is from Rfam. NCBI's taxonomy places the organism in Archaea, Methanobacteriati, Methanobacteriota, Halobacteria, Halobacteriales, Haloferacaceae.